Molecule: long non-coding RNA, 528 nt
Organism: Oncorhynchus tshawytscha (Chinook salmon)
Lineage: Eukaryota; Metazoa; Chordata; Actinopteri; Salmoniformes; Salmonidae
Source: Ensembl
GUGGUGGGGGUGGUGGAGUAGUAGAGUGGUGGGGUGGUGGAGUGGUGGAGUGGUGGGGUGUAGUGAGUCACACAGUCAAACAAGCUCUGGACCUCCCGGACAAGCUGCCUGUUAGGUAUUAUACACAGACAGGGUCUAAGGCAGAGGACAAAGCUAAACUUAAAACAAACUCUAAAACAGAGGGACCAACCCGGUCAGUCUGCCUGUCUGCCUGCCUGGCUAGCUGGAAUGAGUCAUGCAGGUUGGGGAGGCCCCGGGAAAGAUGUUUGUUAGACCAACAGAGACACGAAACCCCAAUGUAGACCAGCUACUAGACUUAACACAGAGGAGACCCCCACUGUAGACCAGCUACUGGGGUUAACACAGAGGAGACCCCACUGUAGACCAGCUACUAGAGUUAACACAGAGAGACCCCACUGUAGACCAGCUACUAGAGUUAACACAGAGGAGACCCCCACUGUAGACCAGCUACUAGAGUUAACACAGAGGAGACCCCACUGUAGACCAGCUACUAGAGUUAACACAGAG